UUAGAACAAUGCAGAAUUUGACGAAUGAGCUUCAGGAUGCUGAGCACGUGAAAUUCGCGCAGACAGCGUCCUAAAGUUUACUGAACAGGAAAGUUUCUUGUGGCUAGCUGGCAGAAAUCCCAGGUCGAAAAAACGCUCGUCAACUUUGAAUGGUUUUGACGUUGAUGAAGUCUUGCCUGUUGAGGAAGAAUCGCUUCAAUCGGCCACAGUUAGCUCUGUUGGUUGAAUUUGCUGAGGAUUGGGAACGGCGACGUGUGUCUGAGUUUAGAGCAUGGAGGUUGCGGACUGACGGUGAACAAGAGGUGGUCUUCAGCUCAAUAAGAGAAGGAAGCAGCUUCCUGGCUUACUGGAGUCCAAACAGAGAGUACUACGAGGCGACAGUUGUGGAAACGACUCAUCACACAGUAAGAUCUAGAAGCCCGUCCUGUCAUAGUGUGGAGUUUGGUAUUGGUGAUGGCUUGUCUUCGCGCGGAUUACCUUUACAUUGUAUACUGAGAUGUCCAAUUGAGGCUCCACUUAUAGUGCAUCGAUCAGGACAUCACAAGCUUCCAGCCAAACGGCAAAUAGACCUAGAUCUAGAUCGAUCUCUGCUAUCUAGGAACGUGAAGUCAUGCAAGCAAGUAACAAACGCAAAAGGAAGUCUGAUGUCAUGAUCAAGGCCACAGCUCAGGAAGAUAGAAACAGGAUUCUUCUGAAACCAGCUGCUGAGCAAAGAAAACGGAAGGUGGAAUCAACUAAUGAAAAGCCUUUUGAUUCUUAUAAGGCAAGAGUGUACCAGAGUAAAGAUUCAUCAUGACUAUUAUCGACCAUGUUUGUUAGACACAUUCUGAAGAUGAUGAUAAUCUGGAAGUGACUGCAGAAUCAGCUGAUGUAAGCUUGAAUCCAUAUUUGUGCAGAGCAAAUACAUGUAAAUUAUGCAGCUGUCUGUGUAGAGAUUGAAGUGUAGAUAUGUGCUAGAGUGUAUGGAUGGGUGGGGAUAGAGAUUGUUGAUUAAUGUCUGUUAGUUCUAAAUCUAGUGAUUUGGAUGUUUGUGUUCUUGAGUUAUGUGCUGUUAUUCCUGCACUUUUAAGAUUUCAAACUUAUUCUUAUAUGUCAUGGUAAACUACAAAAGGCAUAAGAGAUCCUUGAAUGAACUCUUUCAAUGUUUGACGAUCUACUUUAUGAUGGAUCUGUACCAGUGUAUGUCCAAUUUAUGUAUGGAUGUGUCAAAUUGUACAUACAAUGAAGAUACAUGCAGGUGUGUAAACGUGCUAUUUCAACAUUUUCUAGUUAAAGGAAGUCAAGAACAGGGUAAACCUAGAUCACUGCAUGUGUAGACCACUUGUAAUAGAAACAUGAUCAACUCUUUGAUAUGAUAUAUUUUUAUACCUAUCUCAAAUUACAGUCUAAAUGGUACAGUACUGGUGAUUUGUUGGGUACAGUCAAUUUUGAUUCAUUCAAAUGGCGAUAAUUCUUGCAGGUCAGAUUGUACAUUCAUCUAUACAAAUACUAAAGACUAAAGACUCGUGUGUGUUUGUGUGCCUGUGUUUGUGUGCCUGUGUUUGUGUGCCUGUGUGUGUGUGUGUGUGUGUGUGUGUGUGUGUGUGUCUGUCUGUCUGUCUGUCUGUCUGUCUGUCUGUCUGUCUGUGUCGGUCUGUGUGUCUGUGUGUGUGUGUGUGUGUGUGUCUAUGUCUGUCUCUGUGUUUCUGUGUCUGCGUAGGUAAACAUCCGUGACUCACUGGUGAACAAUGGAUUACUUGUUUCAAUGAACCAGCUGAAACUGCUUGGUUACUCAGCACAAGCACUCACAGAACUUAAAGGAUCAAAUGCGGCUGCUUAUGAUCAAGUUUUUGCUGAUACAAACUUUGGCAUGUAGAACUUUAAACUCGAAGUCAAAGUUGAGAGUUACAAUGAAGAAGAAAAGAUGAAAUGCACCUGUAUUUCUGUCAAGUAUGUCUAGAAAAUGUGACAGAAAAAUUACUCCAAAUUUUGUGAGCUGUUGUGCGUAUGAACUAGAGGUGAAGUAGAGCUAGACGUGAAGUAGUCAAUGUUGUAUCUGACAAUGGCAAUGCUCUUACACACUUCCUUGUCAAGUUUGAUCAUCCUAAUGUGGGAAUAAAAGCCAAACUAUGUAGUCAGUUCGGACAA
Corticium candelabrum is the source of this 2127-nucleotide RNA transcript. RefSeq lists it as uncharacterized. NCBI's taxonomy places the organism in Eukaryota, Metazoa, Porifera, Homoscleromorpha, Homosclerophorida, Plakinidae. The record is from RefSeq and is a predicted model, not a curated record. The transcript has 9 exons.